GAAAUGCGAUAAGUAAUGUGAAUUGCAGAAUUCAGUGAAUCAUCGAAUCUUUGAACGCACAUUGCGCCCCUUGGUAUUCCGAGGGGCAUGCCUGUUCGAGCGUCAUUACACCACUCAAGCUAUGCUUGGUAUUGGGUGCCGUCCUUAGUUGGGCGCGCCUUAAAGACCUCGGUGAGGCCUCACCGGCUUUAGGCGUAGUAGAAUUUAUUCGAACGUCUGUCAAAGGAGAGGACUUCUGCCGACUGAAACCUUUUAUUUUUCUAGGUUGACCUCGGAUCAGGUAGGGAUACCCGCUGAACUUAAGC
Molecule: unclassified non-coding RNA, 305 nt
Filed under: plant metagenome
Description: partial contains 5.8S ribosomal RNA, internal transcribed spacer 2, and large subunit ribosomal RNA
Rfam family: 5.8S ribosomal RNA (bases 1-105)
Source: RNAcentral